UGGUGACUAUAGCAAGGAGGUCACACCUGUUCCCAUGCCGAACACAGAAGUUAAGCUCCUUAGCGUCGAUGGUAGUCGAAACCCGUCAUUCUCCACCAUUUAUUCUUACAUAUUGCCGGCCUAGCUCAAUUGGUAGAGCAACUGACUUGUAAUC
This 154-nucleotide ribosomal RNA is filed under the name Staphylococcus aureus. Lineage: Bacteria; Bacillati; Bacillota; Bacilli; Caryophanales; Staphylococcaceae. The record is from RNAcentral.